UCCUCAGAAAUAAUUCAUAAACGCACAGAGAGCAGUCUGUACUUCACCUACAUUAGCUGUUCCUGCAAAUGGACUAGGCCAUGCGGACAGCUGGACAUGAGGUGUACAGCGUCUGUCUGCACAGUGGUAUUUUUAUUCAGCCUGUUCCAACUCUUCUUUCCCACCAGACAGACUCUACACAGUAAAUCCACCUCUACUGGAAGCACAGGCGGGCCAAGAUUAACACUGACGUGCCAACAUCACAUCAAAACCUCUCGUUUGACGAAGAGGUCACAUAAAAUUGUUAUUCAGAAGACGAAGUUAUAAACAUGAAGACAGCACAUUUAUCACUAACACAAUGGUCAUUUCAUUUCAAGUUAAACUAGAAUCAUCGGAAGGCGGAUUGCUUCAUGGCUUUAGGCAGGAAAUGCGUGAUGUGUGCGCAUGUGGGACAUGCUGGAUAGAAAACUACCAUCACACAAUAACUGACUUAUGCUGACGCUUGAGUUCUUCCAGUGUAGACACACCCUUUUGUGCAACACUGCCAAGAUAUCAGCGGUUGUUCCUCUGUUUCCUGUAUGGAUUCUGGCCUCCUCCCCAAGAGUAAAACUUGAAACAAAUCAAAAGAUUGAAAUAUUUGAUAAUGUUAAAAGAAUUUAGGUUGCAGGAAUACAAUUUUACUACUUCCUCAGAUCUUGCUUGCAGUAGCCUUUUAAAAUGCCUGGAUUGAACCUGUGUUUUUACGAAGCCUCUUGUUUUGUCAGUGCUAUACUGUUGUAUAACAGCUGAAUUCUGAGUACCUAUCUGUUUUCCUUUGCACUUAAGCAGAGCCUCUUUUUCCUCAAUAAAGCCUCUAUGUGCGACCAUGC
Molecule: long non-coding RNA, 848 nt
Organism: Seriola aureovittata
Lineage: Eukaryota; Metazoa; Chordata; Actinopteri; Carangiformes; Carangidae
Exons: 3
Source: RefSeq, a predicted model, not a curated record